GCAAAAUAUAGUUCAUGAAGAUAUAACUAUGAAAAAAAUUAAAAGGAAUUUGUCUGUUGUCAACUUUUAAAUACUUUUUCAGAAUGAACAUGUUUCUGGAAAAAGAAAUGGAAAAGAUAGAAAAUGAAUUAUUUAUUUGGAAAUGGAAAUAUGAAGAACUGAGACAAACCAAGCUGGAAGGCCUGAAACAGCAGGAAAGAGUGUGGUUUGCGGAUAUCUCUGAAUGGGGAAAGAGAGAGAGACUUGAAGCAGAGAAACAAAGUUUGGAAGAAGAGAACAGAAGAUUGGAGUCGCAGGUAAAAGAAAUUCAGGAACUUCUGGAGAUGAAAAAUCAAGAAACACUAACUGAAUCAAGCUGUGAUCAUCAAAAUGCACAAAGUAAGCUUCUGGUUGAAAAUAAGGUAUGUGCAUUUCUUAGUUUGAUUACCUGGGGUGUGUUCCCCAAAACAAUUAUUAUUUAAUGGUGUCAAAAUGUGUCCUUAAAACAAGGGUUGUGCAAGACAGACCAGCCCUGUCAGCAUCUUAGACCUGGACAAUUAGAAAUCAGUGACUUUGAAGAUCUGUAGUGUACAAAAACUGAAAGAAAUAUAUUUUCAUUUUUAAAAUGAACAGGGGGAAAUGACAAGUCUGACAAGACUAGGGAGCAAAAAUGAAGACUGGGAGGAACAGAAGAGAUUAAGUAAACUUUGGUAGCUACAGAGUCCUGAUUGAGGUCAAAGCAAAAAAAGCUGUGAUAAAUCAUUUCUCUAUCUUGCUGAAUAUUAACUCCUUUCUUAGGGAAAAGAGAUCUGAAGGAAGAGCUGUAUUUCUUAUUUUUAAUUUUUCUACAGAUCUAUUAACUUUUAAACCUUAUUGUACUGCUAAAAAUGAUGUGAUAAAUUAUUCAGAGACUCUUAGCUAUUG
RNAcentral lists this long non-coding RNA (903 nucleotides) under Calidris pugnax (ruff). RNAcentral describes it as "lncRNA (ENSCPUG00000006603.1)". Lineage: Eukaryota; Metazoa; Chordata; Aves; Charadriiformes; Scolopacidae. The record is from RNAcentral.